This 308-nucleotide ribosomal RNA is filed under the name Gammaproteobacteria bacterium. Its description in RNAcentral is "partial 23S ribosomal RNA". It matches the Rfam family "Bacterial large subunit ribosomal RNA", at positions 2634 to 2925 of the family's 2925-position model. Lineage: Bacteria; Pseudomonadati; Pseudomonadota; Gammaproteobacteria. The record is from RNAcentral.
GUCCCUAUCUGCCGUGGGCGUUUGAGAUUUGAGAAGAGCUGCUCCUAGUACGAGAGGACCGGAGUGGACGAACCUCUGGUGUUCCGGUUGUGAUGCCAAUUGCAUUGCCGGGUAGCUACGUUCGGACAGGAUAACCGCUGAAAGCAUCUAAGCGGGAAGCCCCCUUCAAGAUUAGAUCUCACGGGAACUUGAUUCCCCUUAAGAGCCCUCGAAGACUACGAGGUUGAUAGGCGAGAUGUGUAAGCGCUGUAAGGCGUUGAGCUAACUCGUACUAAUUGCUCGUGAGGCUUGAUCAUAUAACUUGAGCA